Daphnia pulex (common water flea) is the source of this 550-nucleotide long non-coding RNA. RefSeq lists it as uncharacterized. The record is from RefSeq and is a predicted model, not a curated record. The transcript is spliced from 2 exons. NCBI's taxonomy places the organism in Eukaryota, Metazoa, Arthropoda, Branchiopoda, Diplostraca, Daphniidae.
UUGAAAAAGGUUGAAGAUUCACUCUAGUUUCCUCCUUGGUCAAGCCAACAUCCUCGACGACGAUUCUUCUGUCGAAAAAAGCAGCAUGCAGUGGCGCAUUUUGUUGAUUUGCUCUUUGACGAUCGCUUUUUGUUUCCUGGUUGAGCCCGGCGAAUCGAACCGGCAGCCGAUUUUCGUGAAACACCAGCAAACGACUACGCCGCGUUACAACAGGAAGCAAGUGGCGGUAGCUCCAAGUCGGCAGUGUCCCACUGGACACUUGCUAGACAAGAACAACGUCUGCAGAAUGAUAUGGCUUGGGUGAACAAUAGUCUCCCCAUCAAUCAGCAGUCUGCAAGUUAGAUUUGACUCUUGAAAAGCACGUUCUCAUCCAUAUUUAAUGAACGAGAUACACGGCCUGGUGAAUUCGCGGAUCAUGUAAAAAUAUGGAAGAAGGGAAAUGUAUGCGGAAAACAUAACGUUAUAAUACGAAAAAAUGUCGAUCCUUGUCGGUUCUAUUUUUUGCUUCCCUUUUCAAGAGUUGAAAAUACACGGUAAUACUAAUAAUACA